GCGGAAGUACUGCGGAGACAUUAAUGAGUCUUUGAACCGAGAGGUCUGCUGCUGGCGCGGAAACGCGUACCGUGCACGGCCUUUCGUGCUCAAUCCACUCAACCUCUGUGCACCUUAAUAGUUGGAGUCAGUAGUCUCGGGGGGAUUACGAAUCAUAAGUAGAGUGCGAGCUUGAAAGUGAGAGUAAGACCGUUUGAGGCGAACGCUUUGACUUCUUAUUAUAAACACUUUGUUGUCUUGUGAAUGUAAUGCUCCUUUGUGGGCGAAAAAGUUAAUACAACUUUCAACAACGGAUCUCUUGGCUCUCGCAUCGAUGAAGAACGCAGCGAAAUGCGAUAAGUAAUGUGAAUUGCAGAAUUCAGUGAAUCAUCGAAUCUUUGAACGCACCUUGCGCCCCUUGGUAUUCCGAGGGGCAUGCCUGUUUGAGUGUCAUGUUAAUCUCAAACCGCUUGUUUUUGCUUAAUUGCAGAGGCUCGAGGUUUGGACUUGGAGGUCUUACUGCUGGCUGUCUGUUGAAGACAUGUCGGCUCCUCUUAAAUGUAUGAGCUGGACUUUGGUUCGCGUUUACGGUGUAAUAGUAACUACAAUUCACCAAUGAGCGCUUGCCUGAAGGGUCUGCUUCUAAUCGUCUGGAUUUCCCGGACAAGGAUCCCUUAGUGGCCUUAUUGAAACCUUUGACCUCAAAUCAGGUAGGAUUACCCGCUGAACUUAAGCAUAUCAAAAA
RNAcentral lists this ribosomal RNA (724 nucleotides) under Ochrosporellus tricolor. Its description in RNAcentral is "eukaryotic LSU rRNA". The stretch from base 279 to 432 matches the Rfam family "5.8S ribosomal RNA". The record is from RNAcentral. Lineage: Eukaryota; Fungi; Basidiomycota; Agaricomycetes; Hymenochaetales; Hymenochaetaceae.